ACUAACAGGAUUCCCUAGUAACGGCGAGUGAACAGGGAUUAGCCCAGCACCGAAGUCUGCGUCCUGUUUGGGCGUUAGACAAUGUGGUGUUUAGGUUGGCGCUUUUGAGAGUUGCUCCGUUUCAAGUCCAUUCUUGAAUAUGGCUAAUAGUUUGGCCCAAAGAGGGUGAAAGGCCCGUGUGGAUGUAGUAAUGCUUGACUGUGCUGGCUGAAGAGUCGGGUUGUUUGAGAACGCAGCCCAAAGUUGGUGGUAAACUCCCAUCUAAGGCUAAAUACUGGCACGAGUCCGAUAGCGAACAAGUACCGUGAGGGAAAGUUGAAAAGUACUCUGAAGAGAGAGUUAACAGUGCGUGAAACCGCUUAGCAGCAAACGGGUGUAGUCAAGCUGCACGCUUCAAGAAAUAGGGUGGUCAGAAUGGCGUGAGCCUGAGCGCAUUGGGCUGGUGUUA
This 448-nucleotide ribosomal RNA is filed under the name Zeuxapta seriolae. Its description in RNAcentral is "partial large subunit ribosomal RNA". It matches the Rfam family "Eukaryotic large subunit ribosomal RNA", at positions 64 to 508 of the family's 3401-position model. The record is from RNAcentral. Lineage: Eukaryota; Metazoa; Platyhelminthes; Monogenea; Mazocraeidea; Axinidae.